GAUGAACGCUCGCGGCAGGCCUAACACAUGCAAGUCGAGGGAGAAGCCCUUUCGGGGGCAGAAACCGGCGCACGGGUGCGUAACGCGUAUGCAACCUACCUUUCACAGGGGGAUAGCCCGAAGAAAUUUGGAUUAAUACCCCAUAAUAUUAUUGGAUGGCAUCAUUUGAUAAUUAAAACUGCGGUGGUGAAAGAUGGGCAUGCGUCCUAUUAGCUAGUUGGAGUGGUAACGGCACCCCAAGGCUACGAUAGGUAGGGGUCCUGAGAGGGAGAUCCCCCACACUGGUACUGAGACAGGGACCAGACUCCUACGGGAGGCAGCAGUGAGGAAUAUUGGUCAAUGGUCGGAAGACUGAACCAGCCAUGUCGCGUGCAGGAAGAAUGCCUUAUGGGUUGUAAACUGCUUUUAUAUGGGAAGAAUAAGGCGUACGUGUACGUUGAUGACGGUACCAUAUGAAUAAGCAUCGGCUAACUCCGUG
RNAcentral lists this ribosomal RNA (478 nucleotides) under uncultured bacterium. RNAcentral describes it as "partial 16S ribosomal RNA". It matches the Rfam family "Bacterial small subunit ribosomal RNA", at positions 28 to 507 of the family's 1533-position model. The record is from RNAcentral.